This 571-nucleotide long non-coding RNA is filed under the name Numida meleagris (helmeted guineafowl). RNAcentral describes it as "lncRNA (ENSNMEG00000008557.1)". The record is from RNAcentral. Lineage: Eukaryota; Metazoa; Chordata; Aves; Galliformes; Numididae.
GGCUGCACUGACUGCAUCUGCACACAGCUGUGACCUCCUUCAUUCUCCAAGGUCUAAGAAAUUCAGCUAGAGACACUCAUAAAAAAGUCUGUUCAAAGUCCUGCAUCUGUUAGUGAGGAGAGAAAUGGAGUGUGCAUUGCUGUGGAGGAAGGCAGGCUUUGAAAUCUGACUGACUGAAUAGUUCAGUGCGAGAACAUCCAUCUGCCUCUGAAAGAGCCAUAAAUAGUGAUGAUGACAGUGAUGGAAACUGAGCUGCAUAACUUGGUAGGAAGAACAGAUCUAAAUGCAGUCUACGUAGGAAGGUUGAAAACUGAGGCAUGUGCUACAACCUACCUCCAAAACACUCACUGCUGAUCGUUAGGAAAUACAGUUUGGAACCAUGCUGAACUGGAUAAUACCUCAGCAGGUCCAAAGGUGGAUGGAGACCAAAGGCACUGUUAGACCCAAGUUGCUCUUAUUGCAAUUUGCCAUGAAGAUGGAAGUCUUCCAGAGUAAACUUCUUUCCAGACUAACAACAGACAUUGCAGAAAUUGGUGGAGGAAGAAAGGAAAACAUAGAAACAAUGUCAUAG